GGACGAACGCUGGCGGCGUGCUUAACACAUGCAAGUCGAACGGAAAGGCCCUGCUUGCAGGGUGCUCGAGUGGCGAACGGGUGAGUAACACGUGGGUGAUCUGCCUUGUACUUCGGGAUAAGCUUGGGAAACUGGGUCUAAUACCGGAUAGGACCAAUCUUUAGUGUGGCUGGUGGAAAGAUUUUUCGGUGCAAGAUGAGCCCGCGGCCUAUCAGCUUGUUGGUGGGGUAAUGGCCUACCAAGGCGUCGACGGGUAGCCGGCCUGCNNGCUGGGUGGACGGCCACAUUGGGACUGAGAUACGGCCCAGACUCCUACGGGAGGCAGCAGUGGGGAAUAUUGCACAAUGGGCGGAAGCCUGAUGCAGCGACGCCGCGUGGGGGAUGAAGGCCUUCGGGUUGUAAACUCCUUUCGCCAGGGACGAAGCUUUGUAACGGUA
This 437-nucleotide ribosomal RNA is filed under the name uncultured bacterium. RNAcentral's name for it is "bacterial SSU rRNA". It matches the Rfam family "Bacterial small subunit ribosomal RNA", at positions 27 to 463 of the family's 1533-position model. The record is from RNAcentral.